Molecule: long non-coding RNA, 245 nt
Filed under: Elaeis guineensis (African oil palm)
Lineage: Eukaryota; Viridiplantae; Streptophyta; Magnoliopsida; Arecales; Arecaceae
Description: long non-coding RNA (EGUI_LNC054656)
Source: RNAcentral
GGUACCCUCUGCAGUCACCAGUACAUUCAAUAACUCAAGCAAAGUAGCAUCAAUCUUAUCAUAUGGUAGUUCAUGAUAAACUGCUCAUAUGAAUCAAGAAGUGACUGGAGGAUCAGAUCCAUUUGCAAUUCUUUAUCCAUGUUCAUAUUGAAAAUUCUGAAGCUCCUUUAUGUCCUUGAUCAUUGUCAAAUAAUGAUCAUUAAUGGACAGCCCAUCACACAUCUUCACUCUAAAAAGUCUCUGGG